Molecule: long non-coding RNA, 1111 nt
Organism: Danio aesculapii
Lineage: Eukaryota; Metazoa; Chordata; Actinopteri; Cypriniformes; Danionidae
Exons: 3
Source: RefSeq, a predicted model, not a curated record
GGAAUCGCGCGCCCGGAGCACACGGCGCUGUAAAAAAGAAAGUGGGAGGCGCUUCCGAGGAGUAAAGUAUCAGCUGGGAGAGACCGGAGCACAUUCACUCGCUUCUCUGUGUGCGGACAGCAUCUGUCAACUCACCACAGCGCGCAAAACAGCGAGAAACACACCUGCUACACACGCCAGAGGACACGGCAUGCGAUGAACGAGCCGCCCGCGCGUCAGGAACAGCGUCCACAUCUGAGGAACAACACGGACAGACGCCUGGCAUCCCUGGAUAACUCGAUUUGGAGGUGCACCUGACGAUACUCCAAAGAUCUCAUUAGUCUGUGAUGAGCAUCAUCAUCCAGCGCAGACCCAAGACAGCGCCUCGUGUCCUCUAAGAGGAAGUGAUGUCACGACACCACCACCGCUUCGAGAGGGACUAUCGAGGGCCGUGGGAGCGUCGCGAGCGCCCCAGCAGCCUCCACAAUGGCGGAUGUUCCCCAGCAGCACCUCCACCUGUGGCUAACGGUAAUAACCGUCCGGGACUCCUUCCUCUGCCAGUGAUCCCAUCUCUCCUGCCUACACCAGUGACCAUCGCAGUGACCACGGCCAGCAACGAACUCAAUGUUAAACGCUCUGCUUCAUCCGCCGCCGCACCAGUUGUUAAGGUAAAUCUGCGUCCAAAUCAAGGGCGGAUUUAACCAAUAAGUGAAGUAGGCCAAGCAGCUGCUUAGGGCCCUGGGAAAUUUGGUGGCCCUAAUAAAUCAAUAAUUGUUAAAUACUUGUAAUUACUUUAUAUUCCUUUUUUUCACAUUCUUCAGAGAUAUAAAACACAAAUGUUUUGGCUCAAGGCCUUCCUCAGUGUGUGACACUGACAGUGACACCCUGAGGAAAGCAUUGAGCUGAAACGUUUAUGAAAAUAAUUAUACUGUUUACAAGACUAAUGCACCAAAAUUGCGUACUUCACUGCUAAACUUGGCCCCCAAUAAAUACCUAGAAGUAUAAAUUAAACCUAUAAUAUGGGUUUUCUGCAUAUUUUGUAUGGUGAGGGUCCAACAAAUAACAUUUUAAUGUAAUUAUAACAUCUUCACAAAUUUGUGGACACAAAAUCAUGGAGCAGUCAUGCAGUCAA